UAACUGGAAGAGGGGAGCUUAAGGUUGCCUU
This 31-nucleotide non-coding RNA is filed under the name Macaca fascicularis (crab-eating macaque). RNAcentral also lists the same sequence under 1 other name. The record is from RNAcentral. Lineage: Eukaryota; Metazoa; Chordata; Mammalia; Primates; Cercopithecidae.